UAGGGAAUCUUCGGCAAUGGACGAAAGUCUGGCCGAGCAACGCCGCGUGAGUGAAGAAGGUUUUCGGAUCGUAAAACUCUGUUGGUAGAGAAGAACGUUGGUGAGAGUGGAAAGCUCAUCAAGUGACGGUAACUACCCAGAAAGGGACGGCUAACUACGUGCCCG
RNAcentral lists this ribosomal RNA (165 nucleotides) under uncultured bacterium. RNAcentral describes it as "partial 16S rRNA". It matches the Rfam family "Bacterial small subunit ribosomal RNA", at positions 355 to 511 of the family's 1533-position model. The record is from RNAcentral.